UAUAAUAAAAUUAAUAUAAAUUUCAAAAUUGAAAAAAUAACAAUUAAUAUCUAUACACUAAAAUCAAAUAUUUUUCUUAUCUUAGAAUAAAUAUAUCAUUAAAAAAAUCUAAAUAAGGAAACUUUUUAAUUUAAUAUCUCUAUAAAUUAAUAAAAAUUCAAAAUCCUAACAUUAUUAAUUUAUAGAGGUUUUACUGUAGUCAUUAAUGAUGAAGCAUAUUAUCUAGAAAGAAAAACGAUGGAUACUACAUUCAUAUUUGUAAAUGAUAUGACAAAACGUUGGCUUGUAUCCGAACCCUAAAGGAUUAAGACAUGAGGGAGCAACUAAUCCUUAUAACACUACUGGAAUGAUGACUCGGAGAUUGAAAAUUUAUAGUCUCUCUUAUCAACCACGUAGAAGGAAUGUUGAUCUAUACACUAGCAUAUCAUCAAAUAUUAUGCACCUAAUGAUCAUUAUACAUGUUGACAAUCACCAACUAAGAAUGAUAUAUCAAGUAUAAUACUAUAUAUUUGCUUUCCUAUAUGUCAACAUAUCGUAUAAGAAUUACUUUAGAUUGUUUUAGAUAUACAUAUAUAUAUAUAUAUAUCUGUGUGUGUGUGGACUAGGCAAUAUAUAUGGUUAAAAUGAAACUCAUGAGAUGAUAUUUUACAUAAAUUUUCUUAAACUCCACAAACUUUAAAUCAAUAAAAGGUCAUUGAUUGUAAUGGUGAUCUAAACAUACUAAUUAAUAUAUGAUUAUUAAUUUAACUAUAUGAUUAGAAGAUGGUUUGAGUAACAGCCGAAUCUAUACUAUUAAAAUAGAAUCACUUAAAAAUCUACUUACAAAAAAGGCAAUUCUCUCAAAUAUAUUUUUUUUUAAGUUUUUGUCACAAAAUAGCAAUGGAGUAAAAAAAAUAGUCUAUUUUUAUUUUAAAAUUUUUAAUAUAUAUAUUUUUAAAAAAAAUUGAAAUCAUAUCCCCAAAAUCCCAUCCUUUAAAUCUAAACCAUAAUUUUAAAUUAGUUAACCCUAAGAUAAAAAUGUAUUAUUACCUUUUAAUAAAACUUAUUUUGGUCGUUUUCGUCAGUCACUGAGAACUCUUUUGUGAAGAUAAACCAGAAAAAAAUAUCAUAGGAAAUUUCUCUAUAAAAAUCAUAGUUGGAUCAUUACAUUGAUUUAAUUUUCUAUUAUUUUUACAACAACUACCUUAGUUAUUAUUAAAUAUAAACCCUAGGCUAAAAUAAUGAGUAGCUCUUGAGUAACUCAUUAACCAAAUUUCCUAAUAGACAUAAAAUAUGGCAUUAUUUUCACUUAUCAAAUGGAAAUGAAUGAGUUUUCAGUAGAAAAUGAGUUUUCUCUGAAUGAUCUGACUUUACUUUUGGAUGUCUCGUUAAGGAUUUGGUGGUAAAAUUGGUCCAAGUAAUUUUCAUAAUAAAUGAAACACUGUAAUUAGAUGCCCAUAUAGUAUCUUAUCGCUUGCCUUUGAGAUGCGAUUAGCUAAAUUAUUUUCUGGUCCACACUUGGUCCUCCACCAAAUAAACGAGAAUAUUUAUAUUCUCUCCUCUCUUUCUACAAUUUCUUUGGAGUCUAUAUCAAGUACAAAUGCUUAAUACUUUUGGCUGUAGUUGAUAAACACAUUGUUUGAUCAAGAUUGUUGUUGAUAAUAUUAUUAUUAUAGCUGAAAGGUUUGUUAAGGCAUCUCAUUACUUUAGAAAACACGAUCAGGUUAUAGUGUACACACAUGUUGUUUUCUUCUAUAAGUUCGAAUAUUUGAUGUAACAACACUAGCAAUAUCGAUAAUAUUCGACAUAAUCAAGAUUAGUGUAAUUUGAAGGACUUGCUAGUCCGUACAUCUCUGAUCUCUUACGAAUUAUAACAUUUCCAGGAUUCGUAGUCUUAUAUUUGGUUUAUCUCUUUUAUUUUGUAAUCAACAGUUCGUAUGUGUUGUGUAUAAUGU
Molecule: long non-coding RNA, 1934 nt
Organism: Brassica rapa (field mustard)
Lineage: Eukaryota; Viridiplantae; Streptophyta; Magnoliopsida; Brassicales; Brassicaceae
Source: RefSeq, a predicted model, not a curated record